Molecule: ribosomal RNA, 446 nt
Filed under: uncultured bacterium
Lineage: Bacteria
Description: bacterial SSU rRNA
Rfam family: Bacterial small subunit ribosomal RNA
Source: RNAcentral
GCCAGACUCCUACGGGAGGCAGCAGUGGGGGAUAUUGCACAAUGGGGGAAACCCUGAUGCAGCAACGCCGCGUGAGUGAAGAAGUAUUUCGGUAUGUAAAGCUCUCUCAGCAGGGAAGAGAAUGACGGUACCUGACUAAGAAGCCCCGGCUAACUACGUGCCAGCAGCCGCGGUAAUACGUAGGGGGCGAGCGUUAUCCGGAUUUACUGGGUGUAAAGGGAGCGUAGACGGCUGGUCAAGUCUGAAGUGAAAGCCCGGGGCUUAACCCCGGAACGGCUUUGGAAACUGGGCAGCUAGAGGGCUGGAGAGGUAAGCGGAAUUCCUAGGGUAGCGGUGAAAUGCGUAGAUAUUAGGAGGAACACCAGUGGCGAAGGCGGCUUACUGGACAGUAACUGACGUUGAGGCUCGAAAGCGGGGGGAGCAAACAGGAUUAGAUACCCCAGUAC